UCAAGUUAUUUCAAUUUUUUUUAUUAUGACAAUUUACAUGUCAUAUUUAUAUGAAAGAAAUGACAGUAGAUAUUAUAACAAAACCAUUAUGAAAGAAAAGUUACACAAUUAGGCCUACAAGCUAUAAAAUGGCUUCAGGCCCAGCUUAUACACAAAGAGUUCUGACUAGACUGUAGUGAGAGACAACGCUGAACAAUUCAUUAACAAAAAUAUUGGCACCAGCCUUAACAUUUUUUCUUACUUCAUUUACAAGGAAUACAGUAUUUAAACAGUUGUGUACUGCAAAUCUAAAAACAUUAGCUGUUAAUAAACUGCAGUUAACCCUUUGAGCACUAUGCCACCAUGAUUUCCAUUUAAAAAAGUUUUAACGCAGCAUGUUUUACAUGCACGUGAUAUUACCAGUGGAAGGGAAAAGACAGUGAAAGCACCACCCAAUUUAUGUGCAACAAGAAUAAUACUUCCAGUUUUUUCAAGGUAUUUCCCCCCUUCCCACACACACAGUGUGUGUCCCCUGGGCCCUUUCCCUUUGAUAUUGUAGCAAGUCACGACUGAAGAAAGACUGAAAAAAACAAGGUUCAGGACUCAAAAAAAAAGCAAGUAUUAAAUGCUACAUAAAGAGCUCUGCUUGUGGAACUUUACUGUGUUAAUUCUUUAGAUAAAGAAAACAAAAGAUGAGGCCAGCUGUGGAGACCAUUUUAAGGAACUCAAGGUGUCUUUGCAAAUGCACAAGCAGCACACGGGAGUAAGACAAAACUGUAUUUCAUGUACGGAUAUCUUAAAUUUUAAGAGACCUGUCUGGCAGAUUUGAUCCAGUUGUCAAAAGAAUACUGGAGGGUAAGCAUCCACAUGGGACACUGAAAAUCCCCAAUGUUUGUCUUAUGGACAGGAUCUGUUCCAGGAUGGACAGGAUGUGAGAACUGCCCUGCUCCCAGGAAUGGUAACAUCAUGCAUUUGGAUCAGUCCCAUCCAUCCCCUGGCUGAAGCAGGAGCACUGUGAAACACGGGCAGGAACCAACAACUGCAUUGGCAAUGCUUGAAUGGCAGUUAGGGGGAGGAGCAUCCUUUGAGUGAAUAUAGGACAGGAAUAAGGUACUGUACAAGAUUUUAGAGUCCAUAUAACGAGUACAAAAUGGAAAACUAAACAGGCUUACAACUUUAUGAUUUGACUUCCCUUCCUACCACUACCUUGAGUGGCAGAUUAGUAUCUAUUAAGGACUUUUAUCUAACUAACAAACAGUGCACUGGUUACUAGGUCUAGCAUAUGUUUUUGCAGAAAGACUUUAUCCCUGUAGAACCGCUUCAGUUCUGCCAGAUUGAGCCAAGUUCAGUUGUGUGGGACACAGUAAGAGGAACAAACAAGAAAGCAAACUGUGUGGAUUCUGACUGUCAUCCCUGGAGAGAAACAUUGUCAUAAUAUUCUAUGGACUGAUCCUAAUUUUUUCUACAUCCACAUUGCACUGAUGGAGGAACAUUAUUUAUUCCCUCAAGGAAGGAGACAUCAAGUACAUUUUCCAGUUACUUUGAAAAUCAGGAUGAGAAAAGGAGGGUAUUAGGAUGAUUCUCCUAAAUUGAGACCUUCCUUUGGAAAUCCAACCUGUAAAGAGCAAGUCACAAGUAGCUUCUAGGCCUGUUCAAGACCUCUCUUGCAAAUGGCAUGAGUUUGCAUUCACACUAUUCCAUUCCACUUCCCUCCAUCCAUUCCCCAUCUCCCUGUAAUUGGAACAAGCAUCCAAACAGCAGGAGCCAGUGACUCUGUCUGCACCUGGGGAACCAGUGAGACCGACUAUACACAAAGUGCUGCAAAGUGCACAAAGUAAACCAGCCGAACAAACGGAGCCAUGCCGAUGCUCAGCUCUCCUCAGCAACCUUUGGGGCUGUAUGGAGCAACAGCAGAUCUACUGGCAGGCACGUGUGCCCCUCUAACAGCAGUGCUGUCCCCUCUCCUGCUCCUGAGCUCAUGUGUGUGGGCCCAGCACUUACAAGAUGAUAGUCAAAAAUCCAAGUUGUAAGACUUGCUUUUAAUUGCAGUUGAAUCUGGAUGCUUUACACCACAGAUUCAACUCUAAAAACAUAUCUACUGUAGAGCAUUUUAUUAUUUCCCUCAGAAACUCUCUGCAAUAUACAUCUUCUGCAAUAUACAAAGUAAAUUAAAUUACUCUGAAGUGUUGGGACAAUCAUUCCCAUGUUUUUGUUGUUUGGAACUACCUCAGUUAGUUACACCUAAUCUAAAAGAAGAGCUUGGUAAGUGAUGUGAUUUUCCAAAGUGACUAGCAAUCCUCAAUACCCCAACUUCUGGGUCUCCAGAAAUAAUUUCAAACUGAUAAAUAUUUCUGAAGCCAGGGUUCUCUGUUAGGUCUCUGACUGGGUAAAGAAUCAAAAAUUAGUCAUACAAUUUUUCUUCUAUCAAGCUAUACCAGCAAAAAAAACUCCAACCAAGCCAAAACAACAACAAAACCCCUAAAAUGGAUAAUUUCUGCUGGAUUUAUUUUACUUUCUGCCUUCCAAGAUUUUAAGUGAGAUACAGUCCCUAUGCUAACUGUUAGGGAAGAGGAGGCAGAAGACACUAUCUGCAAAUGUGAUCUUGAUCCUCUAAAUCCUUACUUCAGACAAUAUCCUAAAUGCUUCUAUGGAAGUUUUGAACACCUAAGGACUUGCAAAAUUUUGCUGCUUUAUUUCUAGAGAUUCCCAUACCAUAUUCAAUGCAAAUUUUCCCCCAAGUUACUAUUUCAUUUGAAGAUACUUGAUCUUCUACAUAUAUUUAUAUAUAUUUAAGGAUUUUAUCUACCCACCAAAUCAGAAGCAUAUAUCAAAUGUAAAUACAUACCUAGGGUAUACACUGCACAUCAGAACCACAUUACAAGUCUGUGAAUAGUAGUCACUGCACAUGUAUAAAACCCAACUUUCAAGGCCUAUAUAAAGCUUUUUUGAAUUAGAUGAUACAAAUCUUUGUCAUACCAGUUCUGGGGGUGAGCAUUACUGUCAUGAUUUAUUAAAAUCACUAGGCAUAAAAUGGACCCCAUGACAAUGAAGGAUUAAAAUUAUUACACAGUUGCAGUUUCUGGAUACCAGUGUAGUUUAAAUAAUAGAUGUGAAGAGAAAUCAGAACAAGUGUGCCACUACCAUACAAUUUUUAUUUUGUGAACAUGUAUCUUUUGCCCCUUGAACUUCUCAAUGUAAGGUCUCUCACCGAGAGUUCAGACCCAGCAAUUAGGAAACAGAAGUGAACAGAAAAAAAGUCCAACUAAGUCAUUAGCUUCCAUAAUAUGGAGAGUAACCAAGACACUUAAUACAACAAAAUCUUGGAGGUGAAAUUUCAAAAAUGAGCUUUUAAGAAAAAGGCAUCUCUCAUUUCUCCGAAGUGCUGCUAAGCCAGAACAAUCUGUUCAUUAAAAAAAACAGUAAUGAAGAUGCAGUGAUUUUAAAAUGUAAUUCAGCAUGUAUGAAAUGAAAGUAUCAGAGAGUUGAUUGUUCAGCACUGACCUUGCUAACUAAGGGUUGUUAGUAUGAUGUCCAUCUUAUAUCAAGAAUAUGCUCAGGUUUAUCAGACUCAACAACCAGAAGACAGCAACUGUGGUGAAAUCAACCCAAUUGUUAAUUCUAUCCCCUUUCUUCUUGGAUUAACACACCCCAUUCAUUACUGCAGUGGCCCUGCUUGUGUGCUUUUUGUCACCGAGUCACAGAAACCCCACACAGGGAAGCAAACAGCCAGCAUGUAUCUUGGUGGCACAAAAAAAUCCACUCCUCCACUUGAUCUACAUGUUCUUCUUCCCAGCAGUGCUACUUAGACUACACAAAGAAAUCAGCUUUCCCCCCAGUCAGUUAUAUAGAAAAGAGCUUGCUGGUAAAAAAAGACUGUUAGUGACAAUCUGUGUGGAAUAAAUAAGAGUUUGCUGAAUAAAUUGUCGGCAUGUGCAGCCAGUAGCUGCUUGAUCUCAUUAAAAACAAUCCCUGGCCUGUUUCCCAUUUCCUAUAUGUUUUGAGCUUUAAGCCCAAACCUACACCUGAAGAUCACUAUUCAAAGACAACUAACUUCUGAUCUCACACUGAGCACAGAAGGGCACGAGACCGUAAGGACAACAGGAAGACAUUUUCACUCUAGAAUCACAUAUACAUACUGUAACAGCAUGAACCCUGUGUGAUAGCUGGCCUCUUGUCAGAAAAUGCCAUCUUCCCAAAUAGAUAAUACAUUUUUCACCACGCAGGAAGCCUUAAAAAUGACAAAAUUACCAAGUUUUAAAAUGCCAAUACUUUCCAGAGCAUUUUUUGCAGUUUUUCCUUGCACAUCAUUCCCACUGAUCUGAGGAGGAACUCUAGAUCCUAUGGGAUGAAGCCAUCUCAGGUACCAAGGGUGACUUAGAAGACAGAAAAGUUGCUUUUAAGAAGAGAUCUAUAGAAAGUACAAUUUAGUAACAACGGGCCAUUUUUAAAAUUGAACACUUCUGAUGCAAGCUUCAAUGCUCCUAUUUUGCAUCUUGGUCUUCCCUGCUUUUACGUUGCUUUAACUCAGUACUCAAGUACUCAAUUUUUCUCAUUAUUGGUAUAUCCAGAGGUGUAACUCUUUUGUAUUUUUUUAUACAUACAAGUACCUCUCCACUAAGUAUUUAGCAUUUGGAGUUGACUCUACAAGCAAGAAUGUUUGAUCAGAUACUAAAAAGCUCCAUCAGGCAGAAAAAGAAAAUAUGGCACUGCCAAAACAAAUAAGGAACUAUGGAUUCCACAGAGUUGAUGGAUGUGAAUCAGUUUGCACUGCAAGUAUUAAAAAUGCUCAGCAACUACUAUCAUGGACAAGUGGAAGCCUUAUGUUCUUACUUGUUCUAACAUACAAGUAUAUUAGAAUUUAGAAGCAAUACAUUUAUGCAUCACCUAGGCAAAGAAAAGCACUAGAGUAGCUUAAAAUGCUACAUAUGCUUUUAAGAACUCAUUCUAUGCUUCUGUGGCUCUUCACUACCCCAUUUUUAUCAUUUAACUGUUGUUAACAUCAGUAAGGUAGGAAAACAUUUAAUCUGUAAUGAAAUCAAACUGUCAUGUAGAGAGCAAUUUCUCUUUGUUUUUAAUCACAAGCCUGCUUAGCACAGCAGAUAAUGAGCAAGUUCCAUCUUUUUGCAUCUUUCUGAUCCUACUUUUAUAGCAUGAUAUAUGCACUGCUGGAACUCAAACAAGUAAGAGUCAUGGAGUGGUUCUGACAGACUUUGGGGAGAAAGAGGUGGGGAAACAAAACCAAGAUUUUAAAGGCCAGAAGGUAGGUAAAAUUUGGAUCUUGGUUUUUUAGAGAGGUAUUUAGUAAAGGCCUAAUGCUGGUUUCAGUACAAGAAAACAGAAGUGCUUAAUGACUAACUAGUAAAUACAAUAUAAUGGAAAGGAAUCAGGUGGGGCAGGAAAGGAGAACUCACUCCUCAGUGGCAGCAGCAGCUUUGGUGCAUCCAUUGCCGGCAAUGGACAUAAGCACCAGUCAAAAAUCCAAAUCUCAGAGCAAAAGGAUUAAUAGAUGCGACCUUUUUGGAUUUCAAUGUUUGGCAGAUCUGUUUGAGCUGUCUGUGUCCUAUAACAUGUACAAAUGCUACAGCCUGCAUCUUAAUCAGAAUAGAGAGAAAACUGAAUGCUCUUGAUGUGCCCCAUGUUGAUUCAGUGGGGUUUUUAUUCUUCCAUUGUCUUUUUUUGCCCCUUGAAUAAAAGCACAUAUCACUUCAUGCCUGUUGAAAAGUUGAUGAGAUGUCUUGGAGCCAGGCGUUUUCUCUCAGAAACUCUGC
Molecule: long non-coding RNA, 5747 nt
Filed under: Taeniopygia guttata (zebra finch)
Lineage: Eukaryota; Metazoa; Chordata; Aves; Passeriformes; Estrildidae
Description: lncRNA (ENSTGUG00000021996.1)
Source: RNAcentral